GUACCCACAGAAGAAGUCCCGGCUAACUCCGUGCCAGCAGCCGCGGUAAUACGGAGGGGGCUAGCGUUGUUCGGAAUUACUGGGCGUAAAGGGUGCGUAGGCGGCCUUAUAAGUUAAAUGUGAAAGCCUUGGGCUCAACUCAAGAAGUGCAUUUAAAACUAUUGGGCUUGAAUAUAAGAGAGGGCAAUGGAAUUUCUGGUGUAGGGGUGAAAUUCGUAGAUAUCAGGAGGAACGUCAGGGGCGAAAGCGAUUGCCUGGAUUAUUAUUGACGCUGAGGCACGAAAGCGUGGGGAGCAAACAGGAUUAGAUACCCUGGUAGUCCACGCUGUAAACGAUGAGUGCUAA
This 345-nucleotide ribosomal RNA is filed under the name uncultured Neorickettsia sp. RNAcentral describes it as "bacterial SSU rRNA". It matches the Rfam family "Bacterial small subunit ribosomal RNA", at positions 475 to 819 of the family's 1533-position model. Lineage: Bacteria; Pseudomonadati; Pseudomonadota; Alphaproteobacteria; Rickettsiales; Anaplasmataceae. The record is from RNAcentral.